GACAGAGGAGGCAAGCGUUAUCCGGAAUUAUUGGGCGUAAAGCGUCCGUAGGUGGUUUGGCAAGUCUGGGGUUAAAGCCCGGAGCCUAACUCCGGAUCGGCCCUGGAAACUGCCAGACUAGAGUAAGGUAGGGGUUGCGGGAAUUCCCGGUGUAGCGGUGAAAUGCGUAGAUAUCGGGAAGAACACUAGUGGCGAAAGCGCGCAACUGGGCCAUUACUGACCCUGAGGGACGAAAGCUAGGGGAGCGAAUGUG
Molecule: ribosomal RNA, 253 nt
Filed under: uncultured bacterium
Lineage: Bacteria
Description: partial 16S ribosomal RNA
Rfam family: Bacterial small subunit ribosomal RNA
Source: RNAcentral